GACGAACGCUGGCGGCGUGCCUAAUACAUGCAAGUAGAACGCUGAAGGAGGAGCUUGCUUCUCUGGAUGAGUUGCGAACGGGUGAGUAACGCGUAUGUAACCUGCCUGGUAGCGGGGGAUAACUAUUGGAAACGAUAGCUAAUACCGCAUAAGAGUAGAUGUCGCAUGACAUUUGCUUAAAAGGUGCGAUUGCAUCACUACCAGAUGGACCUGCGUCGUAUUAGCUAGUUGGUGAGGUAACGGCUCACCAAGGCCACGAUACAUAGCCGACCUGGGAGGGGGAUCGGCCCCACUGGGACUGAGACCCGGCCCAGACUCCUACGGGAGGCAGCAGUAGGGAAUCUUCCGCAAUAGACGGAAGUCUGACCGAGCAACGCCGCGUGAGUGAAGAAGGUUUUCGGAUCGUAAAGCUCUGUUGUAAGAGAAGAACGAGUGUGAGAGUGGAAAGUUCACACUGUGACGGUAUCUUACCAGAAAGGGACGGCUAACUACGUG
Molecule: ribosomal RNA, 495 nt
Filed under: uncultured bacterium
Lineage: Bacteria
Description: partial 16S ribosomal RNA
Rfam family: Bacterial small subunit ribosomal RNA
Source: RNAcentral